UGGUGGAGUGAUUUGUCUGGUUAAUUACGAUAACGAACGAGACCUUAACCUGCUAAAUAGCCCGACCGGCUUUUGCUGGCUGCUGGCUUCUUAGAGGGACUGUCUGUGUCUAACAGACGGAAGUUUGAGGCAAUAACA
Molecule: ribosomal RNA, 138 nt
Filed under: uncultured eukaryote
Lineage: Eukaryota
Description: partial 18S ribosomal RNA
Rfam family: Eukaryotic small subunit ribosomal RNA
Source: RNAcentral